Molecule: non-coding RNA, 44 nt
Organism: Oryzias latipes (Japanese medaka)
Lineage: Eukaryota; Metazoa; Chordata; Actinopteri; Beloniformes; Adrianichthyidae
Source: Rfam
ACAACGGCUCUUUUAAGAGCCACCAACACAUCUGCAGAGCAUUU